GACGGAAGGUGCAAGCGUUGCUCGGAAUCACUGGGCGUAAAGGGUGCGUAGGCGGCCGUGCAAGUCUGGCGUGAAAGCCCCGGGCUCAGCCCGGGAAGUGCGCUCGAAACUGCGCGGCUCGAGUGCCGGAGGGGAGAGUGGAAUUCCUGGUGUAGCGGUGAAAUGCGUUGAUAUCGGAAGGAACGUCGGUGGCGAAAGCGACGGACUGGAUCUCUUCUGACGCUGAGGCGCGAAAGCCAGGGGAGCAAACGGG
This 253-nucleotide ribosomal RNA is filed under the name uncultured bacterium. RNAcentral describes it as "partial 16S ribosomal RNA". It matches the Rfam family "Bacterial small subunit ribosomal RNA", at positions 524 to 776 of the family's 1533-position model. The record is from RNAcentral.